AUGACCCACAUAUCAGAUAUUAAACUGAUAAGAACAGAUACUACACUUGAUCUUAGCCAAAAGGCCGAGAAAGGUAUGAGUUGCAGCGUUGCUCUGCCCCUCUAUUUGUAGCCUACUCGCCCUCCCGUCCCCUCUUCGCUAGGCGAGGUGGUACUAAACGAGUCGCCUCUCUCGCGCGGCUGCGGAGCGCGGACGCUGCGCUGCGUGCCCCCCGACCCCGAGCCAGCCUCUUUGUUGCAUGGGCCUCAAGCGAGACGGCCUUUCCGAUGA
RNAcentral lists this ribosomal RNA (270 nucleotides) under Triticum aestivum (bread wheat). RNAcentral's name for it is "partial small subunit ribosomal RNA". The record is from RNAcentral. Lineage: Eukaryota; Viridiplantae; Streptophyta; Magnoliopsida; Poales; Poaceae.